AGAGUUUGAUCAUGGCUCAGGAUGAACGCUAGCUACAGGCUUAACACAUGCAAGUCGAGGGGCAGCAUGUUGGUUGCUUGCAACCAAUGAUGGCGACCGGCGCACGGGUGAGUAACGCGUAUCCAACCUACCCUUGUCCAUCGGAUAACCCGUCGAAAGGCGGCCUAACACGAUAUGCGGUUCUCAGCAGGCAUCUAACGAGAAUGAAAUGUGAAGGAGAAGGAUGGGGAUGCGUCUGAUUAGCUUGUUGGCGGGGUAACGCCACAAGGCGACGAUCAGUAGGGGUCUGAGAGGAGGUCCCCCANAUUGGAACUGAGACACGGUCCAAACUCCUACGGGGAGCA
Molecule: ribosomal RNA, 344 nt
Filed under: uncultured bacterium
Lineage: Bacteria
Description: bacterial SSU rRNA
Rfam family: Bacterial small subunit ribosomal RNA
Source: RNAcentral